RNAcentral lists this long non-coding RNA (688 nucleotides) under Fukomys damarensis (Damara mole-rat). RNAcentral describes it as "lncRNA (ENSFDAG00000022043.1)". The record is from RNAcentral. Lineage: Eukaryota; Metazoa; Chordata; Mammalia; Rodentia; Bathyergidae.
CCUCAGGCUCCUUCUUCCCCUCUCCACCCCUGCCAUGUUUUCCUGUGGUGAGGCUCUGGCAGCUUCCGGAAGACAAGUAACGGGAACAUCAGUCAGCCCACAGCCGCGCUUCCUGUGCUGCAAAAGGUGUCCCCGCUGCACUGUGGAGGUGGGAAGUUGCACAAAGCUGGGCAGUGCUGCCUGCCGUUGUUCUGCUGCAUGGACAGCGCGCGGGGCCCACAUCACCCCUGCAGCUGUGACAGACUACGUCCUGCCGCCCAAACAUCUCGAGUUCCCGCUCUCUGCACUGCAAGCCGGGGUAAUUACCAGCUACAGGCUCAGAAGCAGGGGCUGGCCCAGCACCCUCACGAAGAUUGCUGUGGUUUACUGCACUUGAAUUCCUCCCAAGAUUGCGUCUUAUCUACAGAGCAUAACUUGACAGACUGUUUGAAUACUGGGCAUAGAAAGGUAAGUGGGAGUGAGCAACAGAAGCCAAGUUCCCCUUUCCCUCCAGGUGAGGUCACUUUCCUUCCUGCCAGCUCAGAAGCAAGCCCUGCUAGAGACCAGGGACGCCUGAGGGGUUCUGCAGUCACCAUGCUCUGGCCAUCCAACCUGAAGACAGUCUUCGCCCUCUGUGUCUCUCUUGCCUUCCUGGUCACCACUGUGGGUAAGAAUGAACCCGUGGGUCUUGCUCCCCAAGACGGGAAGG